This 352-nucleotide ribosomal RNA is filed under the name Pterinoxylus crassus. RNAcentral describes it as "partial 12S ribosomal RNA". Lineage: Eukaryota; Metazoa; Arthropoda; Insecta; Phasmatodea; Pseudophasmatidae. The record is from RNAcentral.
AGUAUUUAUUAUUUUUUUUUAAACCUAAAGAAUUUGGCGGUGUUUUAUUCUAUUUAGAGGAACUUGUCCCGUUAUCGAUAAUCCUCGUUUUAUCUUACUUUUACUUGUAUUUCAGUAUGUAUACCGCCGUUAUAGGUUUAUUUUAUAAGAUUGUUAAUUUACUUAUUAUUUAAUAAUAUUGUAUUUCAGGUCAAGGUGCAGUUUAUGUUGAAGUGGAGAUGGGUUACAUUGUUUUAAUAAAAUUGGAUUUGAUUUGGAAUAUUAUUUAUAUCAAUGAAAUUGGAUUUAAUUGUAAUUUAAUUUAUAGUUUUUAUAUGAUCAUUAGCUCUGAAAUAAGUACACAUCGCCCGUC